AAUGAACGUUGGCGGCGUGGAUUAGGCAUGCAAGUCGAGCGAGAACCCAGCAAUGGGGGACAGCGGCGUAAGGGACAGUAAUGUGUAGAUUAUCUGCCCUCGGGACCGGGAUAGCUGCGGGAAACUGCAGGUAAUACCGGAUAACAUCUCCGGAUCACAGGUGUGAUUCCGCCCGAGGAUGAGUCUGCAUCCUAUUAGCUAGUUGGCAGGGUAAUGGCCUACCAAGGCUUUGAUGGGUAGCGGGGGUGAGAGCACGACCCGCGUCAUUGGGACUGAGACACUGCCCAGACACCGACAGGUGGCUGCAGUCGAGAAUCUUCGGCAAUGGGCGCAAGCCUGACCGAGCGACGCCGCGUGUGGGAUGAAGGCCUUCGGGUUGUAAACCACUGUUAGAGGGGAUGAAAUGCAGGUGGGUUCUCCCAUCCGUUUGACAUAGCCUCAGAGGAAGGACGGGCUAAGUUCGUGCCAGCAGCCGCCGUAA
This 481-nucleotide ribosomal RNA is filed under the name uncultured bacterium. Its description in RNAcentral is "partial 16S ribosomal RNA". It matches the Rfam family "Bacterial small subunit ribosomal RNA", at positions 29 to 523 of the family's 1533-position model. The record is from RNAcentral.